AUGUUCCAAACCAAAAGUAAAACAGAACCACACCUCUCCGGACCAAGCAGAGUAGUUUUUUUUCUUUUGAAAAACUUGAGUAGAGUAGAAAUUGAAAAGAAGCUUGUUCAACAUCGUCUGAGAUGGUUUGAGCAUAUUCAGCGCAGGCAUCCAAAACCUCCAACGCAUAACAGAUGGCUAAAGCGUGCGAAGAAUGUUAAGAGAGGUCGGGGUAGACCGAAUUUGACAUGGGAGGAGUCCGUGAAGAGAGAUCUGAAGGAUUGGACUAUCAUAAAAGAACUAGCUAUGGACAGGAAUGCGUUGAAACUUGUUAUCCAUGUGACCGAACCAUGA
This 333-nucleotide ribosomal RNA is filed under the name Triticum aestivum (bread wheat). RNAcentral's name for it is "partial small subunit ribosomal RNA". The record is from RNAcentral. Lineage: Eukaryota; Viridiplantae; Streptophyta; Magnoliopsida; Poales; Poaceae.